UACGGAGGAUGCGAGCGUUAUCCGGAUUUAUUGGGUUUAAAGGGUACGUAGGCGGCUUUUUAAGUCAGCGGUGAAAUUUUGCAGCUUAACUGUAACAGUGCCGUUGAUACUGGGGAGCUAGGAUUUGGUUGCUGUGGGUGGAAUGUGUGGUGUAGCGGUGAAAUGCUUAGAGAUCACACAGAAUAUCGAUUGCGAAGGCAGCUCACAAAGCCAAGAUUGACGCUGAGGCACGAAAGUGUGGGGAUCAAACAGGAUUAGAUA
This 261-nucleotide ribosomal RNA is filed under the name uncultured prokaryote. RNAcentral's name for it is "partial 16S ribosomal RNA". It matches the Rfam family "Bacterial small subunit ribosomal RNA", at positions 524 to 784 of the family's 1533-position model. The record is from RNAcentral.